GAUGAACGCUGACCGAAUGCUUAACACAUGCAAGUCAACUUGAACUUCGGUUUGGGUGGCGGACGGGUGAGUAACGCGUAAAGAACUUGCCUCACAGAUAGGGACAACAUUUGGAAACGAAUGCUAAUACCUGAUAUUAUGAUUAUAUGGCAUCGUAUAAUUAUGAAAGCUAUAUGCGCUGUGAGAGAGCUUUGCGUCCCAUUAGCUAGUUGGAGAGGUAACGGCUCACCAAGGCGAUGAUGGGUAGCCGGCCUGAGAGGGUGAUCGGCCACAAGGGGACUGAGACACGGCCCUUACGCCUACGGGAGGCAGCAGUGGGGAAUAUUGGACAAUGGACCAAGAGUCUGAUCCAGCAAUUCUGUGUGCACGAUGAAGUUUUUCGGAAUGUAAAGUGCUUUCAGUUGGGAAGAAAAAAAUGACGGUACCAACAGAAGAAGAGACGGCUAAAUACGUG
RNAcentral lists this ribosomal RNA (454 nucleotides) under uncultured bacterium. RNAcentral describes it as "partial 16S ribosomal RNA". It matches the Rfam family "Bacterial small subunit ribosomal RNA", at positions 28 to 507 of the family's 1533-position model. The record is from RNAcentral.